Molecule: long non-coding RNA, 762 nt
Organism: Leucoraja erinaceus (little skate)
Lineage: Eukaryota; Metazoa; Chordata; Chondrichthyes; Rajiformes; Rajidae
Exons: 3
Source: RefSeq, a predicted model, not a curated record
GUAAAACUAAAGUGAAAGAAGGUCUCUGGAGCAGGGAAGUUCCCUCCCCUGGGACGUCGAAGAGUUUGACAGUUUUCACUGCCGAAGAACAUGCAAAUGAGAGAGGUGAAUCCCCAUAAAUAGGAGCUGACUGGUCCCCUGCAGGAGAACUUGAUUCAGCUGAGAGUUACUGCAUUGGGCAGAAGAUCCUUCAGCAGACAUCUCAAAGUGGAAGAUGGGCAGAACAGCCGGUGUGACCAUCCUCAUCCUCCUUCUGUGUGCUGUCACUGCACAGGGUAUCGAGCAGCAAGGAUUACAAGGACGGUGCAACCGCACUAGAACCACAUCUGCUUUUAUUCUUCGAAAGUUGAUCCGGAGCCUGAAAUAUAUUCCAGGAGGAGCUCACUGUGAGAACACAGAGAUAAUGCUUUGGACGCAAAAUGAAUUAAUUGAGUGAAGGAUUGAACUCAAUUUGACUUCUGGAUCACCUCAACUAUCACAAAUGAUGCAAAUGAACGCUUCGCUUUUUAACCUCUGAGAGCUUGUUCUACAAUUUCCUACUUUGUUUCUAAUAUUUCCACUUGUCAAAGCAUGAUGUCUACGCAAUAUGAUUUUAAUAAGUUCGCUAUUUACAUAAACUUCUUGCAAUAGCUGCAUUAUUUUCCACAGUAUAUUUUAUGUGGAUUUUAUCAAAUUGUUACCUUGUUAUUAUAUUUGCUUGCAAUUGGCAAUUAAUGCUGGCUUGUCAAUGAGAGAGAUCCCAGAAAAUUAAUAAAAAAAUAA